RNAcentral lists this ribosomal RNA (253 nucleotides) under uncultured bacterium. Its description in RNAcentral is "partial 16S ribosomal RNA". It matches the Rfam family "Bacterial small subunit ribosomal RNA", at positions 524 to 776 of the family's 1533-position model. The record is from RNAcentral.
GACAGAGGGUGCAAACGUUGCUCGGAAUUACUGGGCGUAAAGCGCGUGUAGGCGGACUGGUGUGUCGGAUGUGAAAUCCCCAGGCUCAACCUGGGAACUGCAUUCGAAACUGCCAGCCUUGAGUGGUGGAGAGGGAAGUGUAAUUCCUGGUGUAGAGGUGAAAUUCGUAGAUAUCAGGAGGAACACCAGUGGCGAAGGCGGCUUCCUGGACACCAACUGACGCUGAGACGCGAAAGCGUGGGGAGCAAACAGG